This 1364-nucleotide ribosomal RNA is filed under the name Halichondria sp. XMU02_001_078. Its description in RNAcentral is "12S ribosomal RNA". It matches the Rfam family "Bacterial small subunit ribosomal RNA". Lineage: Eukaryota; Metazoa; Porifera; Demospongiae; Suberitida; Halichondriidae. The record is from RNAcentral.
UUCCUUUGAUUUUGGGGAGGAUAUAAAGUGAGCAGCACUUAUAAUACAUGCUAGGAAGACAGAUGCGUGCGUAAUAAGAGACAUGCAAAUGCUCCGUACAGGUGAGUAAUGCUUUGGAGUCAAUCAUUAACCUUAAAAUAUAUAUAGGUCGAGAGCCUAUAUGUUCUGGUUAAUUGAUGAGUCAGAGUCGUAUUAGGUGAAGAAAACCGGCAGCUGCUGAAUUUUCUUACUGAAGAUGCGUAGCUGAAAAGCCACACUUCCACUGAAACAAGGGGGAGACUCGGUAUAGAGGCAGCAGUAGAGAAUCUUGUGCAAUGUAUGAAAGUAUGACACAGAGAUGUUGCAAAAGAAGACCGUCCAAUAUACGUGCCAGCAGACGCGGUUAUACGUAAGGUCUGAGUUUUUAUCACAAAAGGCGUAAAAAGUGUGUGAGGCGUUAACGCUAAGACAUAAGUUAUUAAUACACUUAUCUUAGCUUACAGAGAGAUAUGGAGUUUUAGGGGGUAAAUGGAAUUUUUAUGUAGCGGUAGAAUGCUUUUAUAUAAAUUAGAACACCGUAGGCGAAAGCGGUUUACUACUAGAAACUGACGCAGAAACACGAAAGUAAGGGGAGCAAAUAGGAUUAGAUACCCUAGUAGUCCUUACUGUAAAUUAUGAAUAUAAGAUUGCUCUAAAUUAGGUAAGUAGUUAAAAAAAUACUUCCAUUUGUGUGUGGUCGAAGAAAACUUAAGAGAGUUCUGCCUGAAGAGUACGAUCGCAAGAUUAAAAUUUAAAAAAUUUGGCGGUUCACUAAUCCAAUUAGAGGAGCGUGUGGUUUAAUUCGAUAGUCCGCGAUUAACCUUACCAAAACUAGAAUGCGAGAAUUAAGUUUAACUUAGCUUGACUUGAAUUCAGGUAUUGCAUGGCCGUCGUCAGUUUGUGUUGUGAAAGUAAUAGAACGAACUCAACCCUUAAUCAAAUUUAUAAUAUUUAUUAUUAGCCUUUGAUUAGAGGAUAACGUCAGGUCCUUAUGAUCCAUAUGUUUUGGGCUAUACAUGCGCUACAAUCUUAUAUACAAAAAGAAUUUAAAAUCUUUAAAGUAAGAGUUCGAAUUAUUCUUUGAAAUAAGGAGUAUGAAGUUGGAUUUAAUAGUAAUCAGAAAGUAGGGCGUUCUGGUGAAUAUGGCUCUAGUGUUCGUACAAAUCGCCCGUCAUCUCUGCCAAGUAAAUAAUCCUAAAGUGUUAAGUUAAGGUUAAAAGAAAAAAAAACCAAAUAUGAAGCGUUUAUUACACAAAACUUUUAUCAGUAACUUAGCAUUAUGGAGGACCUAUGAGGCUGAGGAAGUCGUAACACAGCGGGGGCAUUGGAAAAUGUUCCCAGAUUAA